ACGAUAAUCCGCGUUAGCUUCNCCUUUUNCCCGUUUGUAUACCUCCGUCCAGUCAAUCUCCAAGAGCAAUGGCAAUAGAAAACUCUAAAUCUCAGGUCAAGGUGCAACUUAUAAAAAGGAUAUAGUAAGCUACUGUAAUAAGAUAGAAAGUACUUAAAAAUAAGUAAAUAAAAUUAGUACUUGAAAGUAAUUUUUUUUUAAAACAAAAAAAUGAAUUUAACCGAGGGGAUGCACAAAUCGCCCGUCAAUC
Molecule: ribosomal RNA, 250 nt
Filed under: Galeopsis porcellanicus
Lineage: Eukaryota; Metazoa; Bryozoa; Gymnolaemata; Cheilostomatida; Celleporidae
Description: partial 12S ribosomal RNA
Source: RNAcentral